Molecule: ribosomal RNA, 1046 nt
Filed under: Salmonella enterica
Lineage: Bacteria; Pseudomonadati; Pseudomonadota; Gammaproteobacteria; Enterobacterales; Enterobacteriaceae
Description: bacterial LSU rRNA
Rfam family: Bacterial large subunit ribosomal RNA
Source: RNAcentral
AGACCCGAAACCCGGUGAUCUAGCCAUGGGCAGGUUGAAGGUUGGGUAACACUAACUGGAGGACCGAACCGACUAAUGUUGAAAAAUUAGCGGAUGACCUGUGGCUGGGGGUGAAAGGCCAAUCAAACCGGGAGAUAGCUGGUUCUCCCCGAAAGCUAUUUAGGUAGCGCCUCGUGAAUUCAUCUCCGGGGGUAGAGCACUGUUUCGGCUAGGGGGCCAUCCCGGCUUACCAACCCGAUGCAAACUGCGAAUACCGGAGAAUGUUAUCACGGGAGACACACGGCGGGUGCUAACGUCCGUCGUGAAGAGGGAAACAACCCAGACCGCCAGCUAAGGUCCCAAAGUCAUGGUUAAGUGGGAAACGAUGUGGGAAGGCCCAGACAGCCAGGAUGUUGGCUUAGAAGCAGCCAUCAUUUAAAGAAAGCGUAAUAGCUCACUGGUCGAGUCGGCCUGCGCGGAAGAUGUAACGGGGCUAAACCAUGCACCGAAGCUGCGGCAGCGACACUCAGGUGUUGUUGGGUAGGGGAGCGUUCUGUAAGCCUGCGAAGGUGGCCUGUGAGGGUUGCUGGAGGUAUCAGAAGUGCGAAUGCUGACAUAAGUAACGAUAAAGCGGGUGAAAAGCCCGCUCGCCGGAAGACCAAGGGUUCCUGUCCAACGUUAAUCGGGGCAGGGUGAGUCGACCCCUAAGGCGAGGCCGAAAGGCGUAGUCGAUGGGAAACGGGUUAAUAUUCCCGUACUUGGUGUUACUGCGAAGGGGGGACGGAGAAGGCUAUGUUGGCCGGGCGACGGUUGUCCCGGUUUAAGCGUGUAGGUGUGUGUUCCAGGUAAAUCCGGUUCACUUUAACACUGAGGCGUGACGACGAGGCACUACGGUGCUGAAGCAACAAAUGCCCUGCUUCCAGGAAAAGCCUCUAAGCAUCAGGUAACAUCAAAUCGUACCCCAAACCGACACAGGUGGUCAGGUAGAGAAUACCAAGGCGCUUGAGAGAACUCGGGUGAAGGAACUAGGCAAAAUGGUGCCGUAACUUCGGGAGAAGGCACGCUGA